This 276-nucleotide long non-coding RNA is filed under the name Elaeis guineensis (African oil palm). RNAcentral describes it as "long non-coding RNA (EGUI_LNC007862)". Lineage: Eukaryota; Viridiplantae; Streptophyta; Magnoliopsida; Arecales; Arecaceae. The record is from RNAcentral.
GGGCUUUAUCGAACUGAAAGUCGAAUUAAUUCAUGUGCCCUUCAGGGCUUUAUCGGGCUAAAAUUUGGGUUAACAUGUAUGCCCUUCGGGGCUUUAUCGGAUUGGAAUCUAGAUUAAGAUGUAUGUCCUUCAGGGUCUUACCAGAUUGAAAUCUGAAUUAAUAUGUAUGCCCUUUGGAACUUUACCAGAUCGAGAUCCGGAUUAACACAUAUGCCCUUUGGGGUUUUACCAGAUUGAAAUCUGGAUUUCGAUAAAAGAAAAAAUAUGACAUAUGAG